CCUGGCCGUAAACGAUGAACACUAGGUGUCGGGGGAAUCGACCCCCUCGGUGUCGUAGCCAACGCGUUAAGUGUUCCGCCUGGGGAGUACGCACGCAAGUGUGAAACUCAAAGGAAUUGACGGGGGCCCGCACAAGCGGUGGAGUAUGUGGUUUAAUUCGAUGCAACGCGAAGAACCUUACCAGGGCUUGACAUCCUGCGAACCUCUGGGAAACCGGAGGGUGCCUUCGGGAGCGCAGAGACAGGUGGUGCAUGGCUGUCGUCAGCUCGUGUCGUGAGAUGUUGGGUUAAGUCCCGCAACGAGCGCAACCCACGUCUUUAGUUGCCAGCAUUUAGUUGGGCACUCUAGAGAGACCGCCGGUGACAAACCGGAGGAAGGUGUGGAUGACGUCAAGUCAUCAUGCCCCUUACGUCCUGGGCUACACACGUACUACAAUGCUACGGACAAAGGGCAGCAAACUCGCGAGAGCUAGCAAAUCCCAUAAACCGUGGCUCAGUUCAGAUCGUAGGCUGCAACUCGCCUACGUGAAGGAGGAAUCGCUAGUAAUCGCAGGUCAGCAUACUGCGGUGAAUACGUUCCCGGGCCUUGUACACACCGCCCGUCACACCAUGGAAGUUGGCCAUGCCCGAAGUCGUUACUUCAACCCGCAAGGGAGGAGGAUGCCGAAG
RNAcentral lists this ribosomal RNA (668 nucleotides) under uncultured cyanobacterium. RNAcentral's name for it is "bacterial SSU rRNA". It matches the Rfam family "Bacterial small subunit ribosomal RNA", at positions 795 to 1461 of the family's 1533-position model. The record is from RNAcentral. Lineage: Bacteria; Bacillati; Cyanobacteriota.